Molecule: ribosomal RNA, 510 nt
Filed under: Pseudoalteromonas sp. QPW_2_19
Lineage: Bacteria; Pseudomonadati; Pseudomonadota; Gammaproteobacteria; Alteromonadales; Pseudoalteromonadaceae
Description: bacterial SSU rRNA
Rfam family: Bacterial small subunit ribosomal RNA
Source: RNAcentral
GGGCGCAAGCCUGAUGCAGCCAUGCCGCGUGUGUGAAGAAGGCCUUCGGGUUGUAAAGCACUUUCAGUAAGGAGGAAAGGUUAAGUGUUAAUAGCACUUAGCUGUGACGUUACUUACAGAAGAAGCACCGGCUAACUCCGUGCCAGCAGCCGCGGUAAUACGGAGGGUGCGAGCGUUAAUCGGAAUUACUGGGCGUAAAGCGUACGCAGGCGGUUUGUUAAGCGAGAUGUGAAAGCCCCGGGCUCAACCUGGGAACUGCAUUUCGAACUGGCAAACUAGAGUGUGAUAGAGGGUGGUAGAAUUUCAGGUGUAGCGGUGAAAUGCGUAGAGAUCUGAAGGAAUACCGAUGGCGAAGGCAGCCACCUGGGUCAACACUGACGCUCAUGUACGAAAGCGUGGGGAGCAAACAGGAUUAGAUACCCUGGUAGUCCACGCCGUAAACGAUGUCUACUAGAAGCUCGGGUCUUCGGACUUGUUUUUCAAAGCUAACGCAUUAAGUAGACCGCCUGG